This 459-nucleotide ribosomal RNA is filed under the name uncultured bacterium. RNAcentral's name for it is "partial 16S ribosomal RNA". It matches the Rfam family "Bacterial small subunit ribosomal RNA", at positions 338 to 795 of the family's 1533-position model. The record is from RNAcentral.
CCUACGGGAGGCAGCAGUGAGGAAUAUUGGGCAAUGGCCGGAAGGCUGAACCAGCCAAGCCGCGUGAAGGACGAAGGUGCCAAGCAUUGUAAACUUCUUUUGUCAAGGGACAAAAUCAGGCUCGAGAGCCUGACCGAGGGUACUUGAAGAAAAAGCAUCGGCAAACUCCGUGCCAGCAGCCGCGGUAAUACGGGGGAUGCGAGCGGUAUACGGAUUUAUGGGGUGUAAUGGGUGCGUAGGCGGACUGUUAAGUCAGCGGUAAAAGCCCGGGGCUCAACCCCGGCGAGCCGUUGAAACUGGCUGUCUUGAGAUGUCGAGAGGUAUGCGGAAUGCGCAGUGUAGCGGUGAAAUGCUUAGAUAUUGGGCAGAACUCCGAUUGCGAAGGCAGCAUACCGGCGGCGAUCUGACGCUGAGGCACGAAAGCGUGGGUAUCGAACAGGAUUAGAUACCCCAGUAGUC